GGGCCCGUAGCUCAGCGGUUAGAGCAGUCGGCUCAUAACUGAUUGGUCGUAGGUUCGAAUCCUACCGGGCCCACCA
Molecule: transfer RNA, 76 nt
Filed under: bacterium
Lineage: Bacteria
Description: tRNA-Met
Rfam family: tRNA
About the family: Transfer RNA (tRNA) molecules are approximately 80 nucleotides in length.
Source: RNAcentral